UACGUAGGGUGCAAGCGUUGUCCGGAAUUAUUGGGCGUAAAGAGCUCGUAGGCGGUUUGUUGCGUCGGCUGUGAAAACCUGAGGCUCAACCUCAGGCCUGCAGUCGAUACGAGCAGACUAGAGUGUUGCAGGGGAGACUGGAAUUCCUGGUGUAGCGGUGAAAUGCGCAGAUAUCAGGAGGAACACCGGUGGCGAAGGCGGGUCUCUGGGCAACAACUGACGCUGAGGAGCGAAAGCGUGGGGAGCGAACAGG
This 253-nucleotide ribosomal RNA is filed under the name uncultured bacterium. RNAcentral describes it as "partial 16S ribosomal RNA". It matches the Rfam family "Bacterial small subunit ribosomal RNA", at positions 524 to 776 of the family's 1533-position model. The record is from RNAcentral. RNAcentral also lists the same sequence under 1 other name.